RNAcentral lists this non-coding RNA (3206 nucleotides) under Pongo abelii (Sumatran orangutan). The record is from RNAcentral. Lineage: Eukaryota; Metazoa; Chordata; Mammalia; Primates; Hominidae.
CCCUGGCACAUCCAGCCCUGGCCAGGCAUUUCUGCCGCAGGCAGAUGCGACGCAGCGGCUGGACCGCUGUCCCCGGUGCUGAAAGGUCGAGGGCGCCCGCGCGAGCCCUCUGUAUUGCUAUCCAGGGUGCUGAGCGCGGGCCGCCGCAGUCCCCGAAGCCAGCCCACCCGCGCCAGCCCUCCGCAAAGCCCUCCCACCCGGCACGACCCGCCCGCCUCCCGCCAGCCUGCAGUUGACGUGGAGCAGGCGGCAUAAAUCAAGUCCGCGGGGCAUGGAGGCUGCUGUCGCUGCAGCAGCUCAGCUUGCCCGGGGCGGGAACUCCCCCUUUCUCCUUUCGCCUCCCCAGCACCCACACCCUGUCUCCCCCUGAAUUCUUCCCUGGAUAAUAGCACCCUAACGACAACAGUCAUAAUAAUAGGGUUAGAACGACAGGGGAGGAAAACCCAACAGCCUAAAUAUCUCUGAAAACUGCAUCGCAAAAUGGAAGAAAGAGGGGGUCCCACUACUGUUUCAAAAGAGAGCCAUGGAAGCCAAAUGCUGAGGAUGGUGGCAUCAUAGGGUGAAUGGAGCUGGGUUCUUGAAACACUGCUUGGAGGAAAGACAGCAAAAAUGCCUCAUGAAUCCAACUGGACUGUUAUGAUGCUCACCCUUGGAGACCAGCAACAAUGUAUGCAGAAACCCAGGCCAUGUGGAAAGGCCCCACGUACGUGUACAACUGAGGUCCCAGCUGACAGCUGGCAUUGACAUAAUGUUCACUCUGGGGGAAGCCAGCUGCCACACCGUAAGGACACUCGGGCAGUCCUAUGAAGAGGCCUGUGUGGUGAGAAAGUGAGGCCUCCAGCCUACAGCCAUAGAUGGGGUCUUGCUAUGUUGCCCAGGUUGGAGUACAGUGGUUACUCACAGGUAUGAUUCCACUACUGAUCAGCACGAGAGUUUUCACCUGUUCCAUUUCCUACCUGGGAAGUCAUCAUAUUGAUGGCAAACUUAGUGCGGACACCUGAUCAGCAUAGCGCAGUACAGCCCAGAACCCCUGGGCUCCAGUGAUCCUCUUACUUCAGCCUCUUGAGUAGCUGAAACUACAGGCCCGCACCACUGCACCUGGCUAGUUUGUUUUUGUUAGAGUUUUGUCUCUAGGAUUGUCCUCAGCUGAGUACAUGAAGGCUAACUUCUCCUUGUGAAUCUGCAAAUAUCCUUAUUUUACCCUGUAUUUUACCAUGUGUCAUUUUCAGGUAAAUGAUAUCUUAGCUGUGUAUUGAAUUUCUGUUUUUUGUUUUUUCUUCAGUACUCUAUAAAUAUUACUCCAGUAUCUUCUAGCUUCUCCCAUUUUCUCCUAGUGAAUGGUUAUUCUGCUCUUAUCUAGCAGGUGGUAAAUCUAACAACAGAUACGUUUUCCUUUUUGUUUUAUGUGUAAGUUGUUAUUUCUUCCUUAAAGUUUGUAAUCUUUUCCUAUUUAUUCUUUAAAUGUUAGACUAUAAUCAGGAUGUGUUUAGGUUGAUAUCUUUGCUUAUCAAUUCUGCCUGGAAAUCAGGAACCUCUUCCAAUAUUCAGACUUGUGUUUUCAGCUCAGAAUAAUUAUUUUAUCAUUUGUUUGAUUAUUGCCUUUAGUUGCACUGGAUCUUAGUUAAAAUUCCCAUUCUGAUUCAAAAUAUCUGGAAGGCAAGUAUUUGUCAACUAAGGGAAAGGUGACCAUGCAUCAAUGGUUUUGCUGAGACUAGCUGGUUUACACCUUCAGGCUUUAUACUUAGAAAAUACUGCAAUCAUCUUCUUGUCAUGAAGUUACAAACUUCAGGACAAAGGCUAACCAGCUAAGACUAGCAGAGCAAAUUCCAAGAACUUGGGGCUUUAAUUAACUUGAAUUAAUUUGGACUUGCCCUACCUUUAACUUCACACUAAGUGAGAUAAUAAUUCCCCAUAUUUUCAAGCCAUUUUUGAGAUGAGUCUCUUAUGGCCAAAAGCAUCCUAAUUUAUACAACAUCCUUUUGGUACCUAACUAAAUAUUCACCAAUAUUUGGUACAUUUGUUAAAUCUUUUGGUGUGUGCCUCUUCUAUGUAAUGUAAAUACGGUCUGACUAUCUAUUCAGAAAUUAUAGUUGAUUUGCAAAAAUAACUACUAGAUCGCCUAUAUUAAUUGAUAGUUAUUCCUUCCCAACCUCCUUUCACUCUUCCAUAUAUAUACAAAGUAAAUCUCAAUCAUUAUGUUGAUUAAACAAAAUAGCAGUGAAAUCAGGAUGUUACUGCUCAUUGUACAUUUAUUUCAAUUAUGGAAAAAGCCAAAACUUUACUCCCUUAAUUAACACUUCUCUAGAAAAGCAGUUGAAAUAACCUAGUGUCAUUCUAAAAUGAUUUGUAUACUAUGUAGACCAGAAUCUAGGGCUAUACCUAAAAAUACAUAAAUGAAAUUAUUCUAGAAGUUAAAUCUUCAUGAAAAAACAAAUUAAAUGGUUUACUAACCUCAAGCUGAUUAAAUGUUUUUAUUAAAUGCAGCCUCAGCCAGCACCUCUUUUCAUGGCUGCAAUAAUUAAGUAUAAUAAAUAUUCAAAUCAGUAAUUGAAUUUGUUAAAAAAAAAACAUGCUCAGCUCAGUGAAGACUUUCUAAUAAAUAGAAUUCAAGUACCAUAUUUUCAUACUUCAUAACACUUGCCUCAUCUUAGUUUAAUGACUGCCAUUUCUUGCACUAUAACAAGAUUUUAUUUUUUAUUUUGUUUUAUGCUAUUCAAACAAACACAUUCAAAGUCAUAGGCUAUACCUAUGUAUAACCAUGUUCUGGGAGUUGGUUUAUGUGUUUGUUUAUUUUCUCACAAGUAAAGAUAGGUCAGAUAUUGCCAAAUUAGUAAAUAACUAAACUUGAGAUGGGAAAUACUCUAGAGACACAAUCUGCUUAGCUUUGCAUACUUUUAGUCACUUUUCCCAUUACUCUGUCCAGCUUUCCAGUAAUACUCAUAACAUUGCCUUGAUUUCAUAUGACCACGCAGUAAAGUGAUUACGGCACUUAGAAUUUUGUUGCUUUUUCUGUGCUAACAACUUAAAAGUUUCAAAUAACUGAUGUUCAAAACAGUGAAGAUUUCCUUUUAUAAACAAGUUGGAAAGGAAACUUUUUAUGUUAUUACCCUCAAGUAUUCUAACUAAUAUAAAACGUCUUUCAGUCUUUUAGGCAAAGCAUUUAGACAAAAAGUACAAAGAAUAAAUUUACAUUGUGUUAAGCUGCG